GACUGUGUAGCGUAGUGGAAGCGCGUCUGCAUCACAAUCGCGAAUACCGCAGAAGGCCGCAGGUUCGAACCCUGCCACAGUCA
This is a non-coding RNA of Tuber borchii (whitish truffle), 83 nucleotides long. The record is from the annotation of a GenBank genome assembly. Lineage: Eukaryota; Fungi; Ascomycota; Pezizomycetes; Pezizales; Tuberaceae.